This 964-nucleotide long non-coding RNA is filed under the name Mus musculus (house mouse). Its description in RNAcentral is "long non-coding RNA chr7:6909473-6910437". Lineage: Eukaryota; Metazoa; Chordata; Mammalia; Rodentia; Muridae. The record is from RNAcentral.
GGUGGAUUCCUGAGUUCAGGGCCAGCCUGGUCUACAGAGUGAGUUCCAGGACAGCCAGGACUACACAGAGAAACCCUGUCUCAAAAAAACAAAAAACAAAAAAACAACAAAAAAACCCAAACAAACAAACAAAAAACAAAAACAAAAAACAAAAACAAAAAACAAAAAAAAGAAAAAGAAAAGAAAAGAAAAAAGGAAGGAAGGAAGGAAGGAAGGAAGGAAGGAAGGAAGGAAGGAAGGAAGAUAGAAUUUGUAUUUUGAAGUCUAUUUAAAAGGCAAGGCUAGAGAGAUGAGUCCCCAGGUCAGAGCACCUACUGCCCUUGUAGAAAAUUCAAGUUCAGUUCCCAACAGUCACAAUCAGGAGGCUCACGACUGACUGAGCUGCUCCAGAGGAUCUCACUCCUCUGGCUUCCACAGGCACUGUACUCACAUAUACAUACAUACAUACAUACAUACAUACAUACAUACAUACAUACAUACACACACACACACACAUACAUAUACAAAUAAAAAUAAAAGAAAAUAUUAAUGAGAAAAAGACAGAGGGUCAACACAAUGACUCAGUAAUUAAAGGCACUUGUGUGCUACCCUAACAACCCAACGGAGUUCCCAGAACUCAUGUGAAAAGGCCGAAUGCGGUAGCUACUCAUGCAACCCCAGAAUUCCUGCCUGAGGAUGGAAGUCAGAGGUGGGAAAAACACCGGCCCAGCCCGGAGGGGAGGGGAGGGGCACCUACAGCACAGGGAAGGACAAGAGAGAGGUCCAGCCUCAGGACUGUGGAAGCAGAAUCCUGACUUCUGAGAGCUGCCCUCUGACAUCUCUGAAGCACUGUGGGAUAUGUCUGCUCAUCCUCACAGAAACAAAAAUAAAUCUUAAAAGAAAGGAAAGGAGAAAGAAAAAGAAAAUCAGAUGUUUGCUUGAUCUCAAACACACCCCUGAACUUCAAAGACUCAUUCUACUGAGG